RNAcentral lists this ribosomal RNA (472 nucleotides) under uncultured organism. Its description in RNAcentral is "partial 16S ribosomal RNA". It matches the Rfam family "Bacterial small subunit ribosomal RNA", at positions 332 to 796 of the family's 1533-position model. The record is from RNAcentral.
UACACUCCUGCGGGAGGCAGCAGUGGGGAAUAUUGCACAAUGGGCGCAAGCCUGAUGCAGCCAUGCCGCGUGUAUGAAGAAGGCCUUCGGGUUGUAAAGUACUUUCAGCGGGGAGGAAGGCGAUAAGGUUAAUAACCUUGUUGAUUGACGUUACCCGCAGAAGAAGCACCGGCUAACUCCGUGCCAGCAGCCGCGGUAAUACGGAGGGUGCAAGCGUUAAUCGGAAUUACUGGGCGUAAAGCGCACGCAGGCGGUCUGUCAAGUCGGAUGUGAAAUCCCCGGGCUCAACCUGGGAACUGCAUUCGAAACUGGCAGGCUAGAGUCUUGUAGAGGGGGGUAGAAUUCCAGGUGUAGCGGUGAAAUGCGUAGAGAUCUGGAGGAAUACCGGUGGCGAAGGCGGCCCCCUGGACAAAGACUGACGCUCAGGUGCGAAAGCGUGGGGAGCAAACAGGAUUAGAUACCCUUGUAGUCC